RNAcentral lists this ribosomal RNA (498 nucleotides) under uncultured bacterium. Its description in RNAcentral is "bacterial SSU rRNA". It matches the Rfam family "Bacterial small subunit ribosomal RNA", at positions 28 to 517 of the family's 1533-position model. The record is from RNAcentral.
GACGAACGCUGGCGGCGUGGAUUAGGCAUGCAAGUCGAACGGUAGGAUACCUUCGGGUAUCUGAGAGUGGCGAACGGGUGAGUAACACGUAGGUGAUCUACCCUCAAGAUUGGGACAACCCAGGGAAACUUGGGCUAAUACCGGAUGAAAGCAGCAGUGAUGUUGUUUGAAAGGUGGCGUAAGCUGCCGUUUGGGGAUGAGCCUGCGCUCUAUUAGUUAGUUGGCGGGGUAAAGGCCCACCAAGGCGAUGAUAGAUAGGCGGCCUUAACGGGUGGUCGCCCACACUGGGAUUGAGAUACGGCCCAGACUCCUACGGGAGCAGCAGUCGAGAAUAGUCUACAAUGGCCGAAAGGCUGGAUAGUGCGACGCCGCGUGAACGAAGAAGCCCUUGGGGUGUAAAGUUCUUUUAUAUGUGAGCAGUGCUUUCAUGUGAACAGCAUGGGGAAGAGAUAUUAGCAUAUGAAUAAGCAAACGGCUAAACUCCGUGCCCAGCAGCCG